Molecule: ribosomal RNA, 253 nt
Filed under: uncultured bacterium
Lineage: Bacteria
Description: partial 16S ribosomal RNA
Rfam family: Bacterial small subunit ribosomal RNA
Source: RNAcentral
UACGGAGGGUGCAAGCGUUGUUCGGAAUCACUGGGCGUAAAGCGCGUGUAGGCGGUUUGAUAAGUCGAAUGUGAAAGCCCGAGGCUCAACCUCGGAAGUGCAUUCGAAACUGUCAGGCUUGAGUACGGGAGAGGGAAGUGGAAUUCCUGGUGUAGAGGUGAAAUUCGUAGAUAUCAGGAGGAACACCGGUGGCGAAGGCGGCUUCCUGGACCGAUACUGACGCUGAGACGCGAAAGCGUGGGGAGUAAACAGG